GAUGAACGCUGGCGGCGUGCUUAACACAUGCAAGUCGAACGGUGAAGCAGGAGCUUGCUCUUGUGGAUCAGUGGCGAACGGGUGAGUAACACGUGAGCAACCUGCCCCUGACUCUGGGAUAAGCGCUGGAAACGGCGUCUAAUACUGGAUAUGUGAUGUGACCGCAUGGUCUGCAUCUGGAAAAAAUUUCGGUUGGGGAUGGGCUCGCGGCCUAUCAGCUUGUUGGUGAGGUAAUGGCUCACCAAGGCGUCGACGGGUAGCCGGCCUGAGAGGGUGAACGGCCACACUGGGACUGAGACACGGCCCAGACUCCUACGGGAGGCAGCAGUGGGGAAUAUUGCACAAUGGGCGGAAGCCUAAUGCAGCAACGCCGCGUGAGGGAUGACGGCCUUCGGGUUGUAAACCUCUUUUAGCAGGGAAGAAGCGAAAGUGACGGUACCUGCAGAAAAAGCACCGGCUAACUACGUGCCAGCCGCCGCGGUAA
RNAcentral lists this ribosomal RNA (484 nucleotides) under uncultured bacterium. Its description in RNAcentral is "partial 16S ribosomal RNA". It matches the Rfam family "Bacterial small subunit ribosomal RNA", at positions 28 to 523 of the family's 1533-position model. The record is from RNAcentral.